Molecule: ribosomal RNA, 460 nt
Filed under: uncultured bacterium
Lineage: Bacteria
Description: partial 16S ribosomal RNA
Rfam family: Bacterial small subunit ribosomal RNA
Source: RNAcentral
CCUACGGGGUGCAGCAGUGAGGAAUAUUGGUCAAUGGACGAGAGUCUGAACCAGCCAAGUAGCGUGAAUGAUGACUGCCCUAUGGGUUGUAAACUUCUUUUAUAUGGGAAUAAAAUGUUCCACGUGUGGGAUUUUGUAUGUACUAUAUGAAUAAGGAUCGGCUAACUCCGUGCCAGCAGCCGCGGUAAUACGGAGGAUACGAGCGUUAUCCGGAUUUAUUGGGUUUAAAGGGAGCGUAGGUGGAUUGUUAAGUCAGUUGUGAAAGUUUGCGGCUCAACCGUAAAAUUGCAGUUGAAACUGGCAGUCUUGAGUACAGUAGAGGUGGGCGGAAUUCGUGGUGUAGCGGUGAAAUGCUUAGAUAUCACGAAGAACUCCGAUUGCGAAGGCAGUUCACUGGACUGCAACUGACACUGAGGCUCGAAAGUGUGGGUAUCAAACAGGAUUAGAUACCCGGGUAGUC